Molecule: ribosomal RNA, 499 nt
Filed under: uncultured Glomeromycotina
Lineage: Eukaryota; Fungi; Glomeromycota
Description: partial small subunit ribosomal RNA
Rfam family: Eukaryotic small subunit ribosomal RNA
Source: RNAcentral
CCAAUAGCGUAUAUUAAAGUUGUUGCAGUUAAAAAGCUCGUAGUUGAAUUUUGGGUCUGGCCGGGCGGUCCACCUUCCGGUGAGCACUGUUCCGACGCCGGGCCUAUCCUUCUGGUGAGACGGCAUGCCCUUCGCUGGGUGUGUCGGGGAACCAGGACCAUUACCUUGAAAAAAUUAGAGUGUUCAAAGCAGGCAUUUGCUCGAAUACAUUAGCAUGGAAUAAUGAAAUAGGACGCGUGGUACUAUUUUGUUGGUUUCUAGGACCGCCGUAAUGAUUAAUAGGGAUAGUUGGGGGCAUUAGUAUUCAAUUGUCAGAGGUGAAAUUCUUGGAUUUAUUGAAGACUAACUUCUGCGAAAGCAUUUGCCAAGGAUGUUUUCAUUAAUCAAGAACGAAAGUUAGGGGAUCGAAGACGAUCAGAUACCGUCGUAGUCUUAACCAUAAACUAUGCCGACUAGGAAUCGGGCGAUGUUAUUUUAACGACUCGCCCGGCGCCUUAUG